RNAcentral lists this ribosomal RNA (496 nucleotides) under uncultured bacterium. Its description in RNAcentral is "bacterial SSU rRNA". It matches the Rfam family "Bacterial small subunit ribosomal RNA", at positions 29 to 507 of the family's 1533-position model. The record is from RNAcentral.
AUGAACGCUGGCGGCGUGCUUAACACAUGCAAGUCGAGCGAAGCACUUAAGAAUGAUUCUUCGGAUGAAUCUUUUGUGACUGAGCGGCGGACGGGUGAGUAACGCGUGGGUAACCUGCCUCAUACAGGGGGAUAACAGUUAGAAAUGGCUGCUAAUACCGCAUAAGACCACAGUACUGCAUGGUACAGUGGUAAAAACUCCGGUGGUAUGAGAUGGACCCGCGUCUGAUUAGGUAGUUGGUGAGGUAACGGCCCACCAAGGCGACGAUCAGUAGCCGGCCUGAGAGGGUGAACGGCCACACUGGAACUGAGACACGGUCCAAACUCCUACGGGAGGCAGCAGUGAGGAAUAUUGGUCAAUGGGCGAGAGCCUGAACCAGCCAAGUAGCGUGAAGGAUGACUGCCCUAUGGGUUGUAAACUGCUUUUAUAAGGGAAUAAAGUGAGUCUCGUGAGACUUUUGCAUGUACCUUAUGAAUAAGGACCGGCUAAUUCCGUG